GGAAUAAAAGUCGUAACAAGGUUUCCGUAGGUGAACCUGCGGAAGGAUCAUUAUUGUAUAACCGAGGUGCGAGGGCUGUCGCUGACCCGAAAGGUCGUGCACGCCCGAGUGCCCUCACACACAUCCAUCUCACCCCUAUGUGCACCACCGCGUGGGUCCCCCUUUGGCUUGUUCGGAGGGGGGCUUACGUUUUCACACAAACUCUGUAUGCAGUGUAGAAUGUAUUUUUUGUUUUUGCGAUCACGCAAUCAAUACAACUUUCAACAACGGAUCUCUUGGCUCUC
This 284-nucleotide unclassified non-coding RNA is filed under the name plant metagenome. Its description in RNAcentral is "partial contains small subunit ribosomal RNA, internal transcribed spacer 1, and 5.8S ribosomal RNA". The stretch from base 1 to 53 matches the Rfam family "Eukaryotic small subunit ribosomal RNA", at positions 1779 to 1831 of the family's 1831-position model. The record is from RNAcentral.